This 450-nucleotide ribosomal RNA is filed under the name uncultured bacterium. RNAcentral's name for it is "bacterial SSU rRNA". It matches the Rfam family "Bacterial small subunit ribosomal RNA", at positions 355 to 825 of the family's 1533-position model. The record is from RNAcentral.
UGGGGAAUAUUGGGCAAUGGGCGAAAGCCUGAUGGAGCGACGUCGCGUGAUGGACGAAGUGCUUCGGCACGUAAACAUCUUUUAUGUGGGAUGAAAUUAUUGACAGUACCACAUGAAUAAGGGGCUCCUAACUCUGUGCCAGCAGGAGCGGUGAUACAGAGGCCGCAAGCGUUAUCCGGAAUCACUGGGCGUAAAGGGUGUCGAGGCGGUUGUAUUAGUCGUUCGUAAAAUCUACGAGCUUAACUUGUAGGCGGCGAACGAAACGGUACGACUUGAGGUUUGGAGAGGUGCGUGGAACUCACGGUGUAGGGGUGAAAUCCGUUGAUAUCGUGGGGAACACCAAAGGCGAAGGCAGCGCACUGGCCAAAAUCUGACGCUCACACACGAAAGCUAGGGUAGCGAAGAGGAUUAGAUACCCCCGUAGUCCCUGAGCGGGCUGGCAAGGCGCAU